GACGAACGCUGGCGGCGUGCCUAAUACAUGCAAGUUGAGCGAUGAAGAUUGGUGCUUGCACCAAUAUGAAGAGCAGCGAACGGGUGAGUAACGCGUGGGGAAUCUGCCUUUGAGCGGGGGACAACAUUUGGAAACGAAUGCUAAUACCGCAUAACAACUUUAAACAUAAGUUUUAAGUUUGAAAGAUGCAAUUGCAUCACUCAAAGAUGAUCCCGCGUUGUAUUAGCUAGUUGGUGAGGUAAAGGCUCACCAAGGCGAUGAUACAUAGCCGACCUGAGAGGGUGAUCGGCCACAUUGGGCCUGAGACACGGCCCAAACUCCCACGGGAGGCAGCAGUAGGGAAUCUUCGGCGAUGGACGAAAGUCUGACCGAGCAACGCCGCGUGAGUGAAGAAGGUUUUCGGAUCGUAAAACUCUGUUGGUAGAGAAGAACGUUGGUGAGAGUGGAAAGCUCAUCAAGUGACGGUAACUACCCAGAAAGGGACGGCUAACUACGUG
This 497-nucleotide ribosomal RNA is filed under the name uncultured bacterium. Its description in RNAcentral is "partial 16S ribosomal RNA". It matches the Rfam family "Bacterial small subunit ribosomal RNA", at positions 28 to 507 of the family's 1533-position model. The record is from RNAcentral.